UUUUAUGGAGAGUUUGAUCCUGGCUCAGGAUGAACGCUGGCGGCGUGCCUAAUACAUGCAAGUCGAGCGAACGGACGAGAAGCUUGCUUCUCUGAUGUUAGCGGCGGACGGGUGAGUAACACGUGGAUAACCUACCUAUAAGACUGGGAUAACUUCGGGAAACCGGAGCUAAUACCGGAUAAUAUUUUGAACCGCAUGGUUCAAAAGUGAAAGACGGUCUUGCUGUCACUUAUAGAUGGAUCCGCGCUGCAUUAGCUAGUUGGUAAGGUAACGGCUUACCAAGGCAACGAUGCAUAGCCGACCUGAGAGGGUGAUCGGCCACACUGGAACUGAGACACGGUCCAGACUCCUACGGGAGGCAGCAGUAGGGAAUCUUCCGCAAUGGGCGAAAGCCUGACGGAGCAACGCCGCGUGAGUGAUGAAGGUCUUCGGAUCGUAAAACUCUGUUAUUAGGGAAGAACAUAUGUGUAAGUAACUGUGCACAUCUUGACGGUACCUAAUCAGAAAGCCA
This 511-nucleotide ribosomal RNA is filed under the name Staphylococcus aureus. RNAcentral describes it as "bacterial SSU rRNA". It matches the Rfam family "Bacterial small subunit ribosomal RNA", at positions 1 to 493 of the family's 1533-position model. The record is from RNAcentral. Lineage: Bacteria; Bacillati; Bacillota; Bacilli; Caryophanales; Staphylococcaceae.